GGACCCGCACAAGUAGUGGAGCAUGUGGUUUAAUUCGAAGAUACGCGCAGAACCUUACCAACACUUGACAUGUUCGUCGCGACUUUAAGAGAUUAAAGUUUUCGGUUCGGCCGGACGAAACACAGGUGCUGCAUGGCUGUCGUCAGCUCGUGUCGUGAGAUGUUGGGUUAAGUCCCGCAACGAGCGCAACCCUCACUUUUAGUUGCCAUCAUUAAGUUGGGCACUCUGAAAGAACUGCCAGUGAUAAGCUGGAGGAAGGUGGGGAUGACGUCAAGUCCUCAUGGCCCUUACGUGUUGGGCUACACACGUGCUACAAUGGUAUCUACAACAGGAAGCAAAACGGCAACGUUAAGCAAAUCCUUAAAAGAUACCUCAGUUCGGAUUGCACUCUGCAACUCGAGUGCAUGAAGCUGGAAUCGCUAGUAAUCGU
RNAcentral lists this ribosomal RNA (430 nucleotides) under uncultured bacterium. RNAcentral's name for it is "bacterial SSU rRNA". It matches the Rfam family "Bacterial small subunit ribosomal RNA", at positions 917 to 1345 of the family's 1533-position model. The record is from RNAcentral.